This 844-nucleotide long non-coding RNA is filed under the name Sus scrofa (pig). Its description in RNAcentral is "lncRNA (ENSSSCG00070008758.1)". The record is from RNAcentral. Lineage: Eukaryota; Metazoa; Chordata; Mammalia; Artiodactyla; Suidae.
UAAGGAUCCGGUGUUGCCCUGAGCUGUGGUGUAGGUUGCAGAUGCAGCUCAGAUCUGGAGUUGCUGUGGCUGUGGCAUAGGUCAGCUCCAAUUCGACCCCUAGCCUGGGAACUUCCAUAGCUGCGGGGGGAUGCAGCCCAAAAAAGAAAAAAAAGAAAGAAAGAAAAAAAAAGAAAGAAAUGCAGCCUGUAGUAUUGUUGGAAUUCUUAUUUGCCAAGGAAGAAUCAUCUUCAUUUUUGUAGGGAAUAUGGAAAAGCAGUGUGGCUCAUUAGAGCCAUUAGAACAGAACACUGAGAACCAGAGGUUUGAGUCAUGAGCAGAAACCUUUAUAUCCCAAAUCUGGACUAAAGACAAAGGUAACUUAAAAUUGGUAAGUGGAAGAAGGAAGCUGUAAAUAUCAAAGAAAGCAUAGUGACUAAAAAAUUCAUGCAUGUUAUCUCCUUUUUUCCCCUACUUUCCUUAUUGUUUUGUAUAAGAAGCAUUAGUGAAAGUGAAAAUGGCAACUUAGUUUUUAGAACAUAGCCAGAUGGGAUUGCAAUGGAACAAGAAGAUAACUUAGUAUGAAUCUAUGAAGAAUAGGAAAAAUAAGAGAACUUAUCUUCCGUUUUGGAACAGAAAAGAACAUUUGCAUUUAGACAAAAUAUAGUUGUAGCAUAUUAAGCAGAAGCGAACCCCCAUUACUAUUUUAUGGUAUAAUGAUUAAUUUCAUAUAAAAAUAUGAAGUGGAUACCUCAAAGCAAAAACACUUCCUUAUAUCGAAUGUAUUAUUUGAAGAAUGUAGAAGCAGGAGUUCCCGUCGUGGCGCAGUGGUUAACAAAUCUGACUAGGAACCAUGAGAUUGCGG